Molecule: ribosomal RNA, 74 nt
Filed under: Clostridioides difficile
Lineage: Bacteria; Bacillati; Bacillota; Clostridia; Peptostreptococcales; Peptostreptococcaceae
Description: partial 16S ribosomal RNA
Rfam family: Bacterial small subunit ribosomal RNA (bases 1-65)
Source: RNAcentral
CAAUAACUGGGGUGAAGUCGUAACAAGGUAGCCGUAUCGGAAGGUGCGGCUGGAUCACCUCCUUUCUAAGGAGA